UGGCCGGCUCUGGGUCCAUCUUCCAGCACAGUGUUGGAUGGUCUGAUUGUGAAGCUCCUAACACUGUCUGGUAAAGAUGGCUCCCGGGUCGGUUU
This is a microRNA precursor of Erinaceus europaeus (western European hedgehog), 95 nucleotides long. NCBI's taxonomy places the organism in Eukaryota, Metazoa, Chordata, Mammalia, Eulipotyphla, Erinaceidae. The record is from Ensembl.